Long non-coding RNA from Ochotona curzoniae (black-lipped pika), 754 nucleotides. RefSeq lists it as uncharacterized. The record is from RefSeq and is a predicted model, not a curated record. NCBI's taxonomy places the organism in Eukaryota, Metazoa, Chordata, Mammalia, Lagomorpha, Ochotonidae. The transcript has 2 exons.
CGGAAACCAACUUUGGACAAGCCCUCCCCAGAGACAUUUGUGAAGGCUGCACUCCAGACAGUCGGCUUAGACGCUCGGACGAACGGCUACCCGAUCCAUUCUCUGAUGGGCUCAAUACACUCACUGCUGCCUACGUGGCUUUUUGCAAAAAUAUCCAUGAAUAUACACAAGUCCCUGCGAGCUCGCUAUCUGAAGAAAAACAAGAAGAACUGAGCACAGGGGACUGCAGCGGGUACCUCAGUCCUUACACAGCGCCCCCGGCCAGUCUGCAAAUGUCACAGCUGUUUCAGUGGUUACUAACUGGGCUAAAUUUUAACCUCCUUUGGGAGGAAAGCAAAAGUUGCUCUGAGGAGCUCCUGACUUCUAUUCUGGAUGCUAAUAAAUUUGAAGCUUGAUGUAAAUGCUCGUGUCAAAUGGAUAAAGAACUAACAUGGCCAAGAGCAGCUAAGCAGGAAAGAGCAUAGCGACAGCAAACCACGGGCUGCCAGGCAGGCCUCCGGCCACGCAGGUCACCUGGUCCAAGCAGCUCAUUGACAAGCCAUCAUUCUCGCGUUUUCUCCGAGCCCUACCGUAAAACGGGAUGGCUGGCUGCUCUUGCUUGGCUUUAACACUUUGAGGGGAUGGAGAUUAGCUGGUUCCAUAAUGGGCAGACCCACCACAACUUCAAAUAGAUCUAUGGAAGAUUUUCUAGGAGUGGGUUCCAGUCUGUGCGCUUAGAUGAAACUACUCUUUCUCAAAAGAAGUGCCAGAGAUG